This is a long non-coding RNA of Chelonia mydas (Green sea turtle), 2181 nucleotides long. RefSeq lists it as uncharacterized. The transcript has 3 exons. NCBI's taxonomy places the organism in Eukaryota, Metazoa, Chordata, Testudines, Cheloniidae. The record is from RefSeq and is a predicted model, not a curated record.
CAGGCUCAAGGAGGAGUUAAAAGGAAAGAGCUGAGAAUGGUGGAGUCCCAGGAGUGAGGUGGUCUGGAGUUCCUUCUCUAUGGGAAGGACCUGACUGAAGCCAGCUGGAGGAAGAACUGUGAGGAAAAUGUACAGGAGUGGUGUUAGCUGCUGUGAUGGGCCUUGAAAAAGGAGCAAGGCUCCAGGGAGGAAGCCUUGUGGGUUGGUGUUUGGUAGAAGAGUUGAGAACUGGGGGGAAUGUGAGAUAGACAAAAGGCUCAAGUCUGAGAUGGGUCAAAGUUGUUUAGUUUGUAUUUCAUCUGGUUUGGGGGUUUUGCAAGGGACCUGUUAGCCAGCGUCCUGGAAGAAGCUUGGGCCUGACAAGGAGCCCUGGAAAGGUUGAAGAUAUUGUGCUGAUUGCCAUUAUUUUGGGACACAGAUAAUGGGAUGGAACCACAACGUGACCUGCUGGAGGACAAGCUCACUGCUGAAGUCCUGGGGACGAGAGCAAAGCAGAAUUGCUGAAACACUAUGUCAUGCCCCAAGGGGAUGCUGCAGGACAGAAGAUUGGGAGUGGCUGUGUGCUGCAGAAAGCAGCAAAAAAUAGCCCUGGCAAGCAUAGUUCCAGAUGUUGGCCAGGAAGCUCCAGUUCAGCCACUCACUUGGAAUGGCCCUGUUGUUACCAGCUACACAUGUCGCAGCCCUGACCCCGCGCCAGGCACCCUGCACGGCCAGCCCGUCCAGUCUGCCCUCAGAGCCCCAGAGCUCUGUGGGCUGGGCGGGACAGAGCCUCUAGGGGGCACACGGAGAGAGAACCCAGACCUCCUGGAAGUGUGUCUGUGGAGCCUCCAGACUCCACCAGAACAGCCACAUGCAGCUGCCAGUCACUUUUUCAGGUUUAAAACUCUUCAUUAGGCAUGAAAAUAACUGCUGAGCUCAACCACUUAUUUGGGGGGGUGUCCAUUUGCUGGGAUGUUAAAGGGUUAAACUAGCCCCUUUCCCCAGUGUUUGUGCCCGCUGCUUACCUUUGUGAGAGCCCCCUCUAGCUCCCAAAUGCCCUUGUGUUAACUCUUCAGAUGCCAGGUCACUUUACAACUGAACAGAAUCUCGUGGACAGGCUAGUUCCAGAACAGGGUUAGAGAGUGAAGGAAGGGCCAGAUCCCGACAUGCUUACACCUCUCCAGUGGCAUCUCACUCCACAGUGAGCCCCAUUGUUUUCUAUUACACUACCCCUGGAGUCAAGGGCUCCGCACCUUGUUGGCAGAAACUGGUCCAAAGGAAGAGAACCCCCAGCAGCCAAAGGAUAAAACGAGUUAGAUGUGUUACAAUUCCACAGGCCACAAUACUGACCGUUACAGCCCCCAGCUCGUCUGGGAGAGAACACGGUGUCUGGAGAGCUUGUCAGGUGGGGGAUUGCUGGGCCUCCAGGGAGACAUUUGUCCGCAUGUGCCACGCACCGCCAGCCUAGAGGUCACUGCUCUGUGAAGAGCUUGGAGAGAGCUGGAGGGGCAAUCACCAUUUAGAGAGCAGAUGUAUCUGCCGGGACGGUGCAUGUGCAAAAUGUGGGACAUUCAAACUGCCCCACCCCUGCCAUGCACAGGCAGCCCCACCAGGAGAGCUCCUAACACCAGAGGCAAGAAGCAUCAGAUGCCAGCACAGAGGGUUGCUCUGGGAAUGGAGAACACCCUCUCCCCGCUGGUCUGGCAGGAAGAGCUUUUGCCUUCCUCACCCCCUGCCAGGACCUGAUAUGAGCUGGCUCCUCCUGGUGAGCUGGGGAACUUACUGACCCUUCCCCAAUGAGUGGGCAGACGAGAUGCCUUCAGUAAAGCAACGUAUGCUCAGCUCCCACACAAGUAACUUUUCCUGUUGUGGGAAUUUGAGGUUGAAGCGCCCUCUGGUGCUCAUUCUGCAUCCUGCCGCGCAGCAAUGUGGCCUUGUGCUCCCUGCCUGCCCAGUCAGCGCACCUGGUGCCUGCAGCCAAAAGCCAGCAUGUUCUUUGCUGUACGUUUGGCAGUUAUGGAAAGUUUGGCUCUUGGGUCACUGAGCGACAGCUCAGGAAAGCCAGGCCUAGUGCAGGCAGGUGACAGGAAAGCUUCAUCCUCCCUGGAUACCCACGCACAGAGCUCUGCCAGUGCUCCCGGCAACUCCAGCCCUGCCCCUCUCCAGCUCUGCAUUGCCCCUGGGUCAGGGCUUGCAGCACUU